GCGGACUUCGUCGCCGAAUGGACAAAAGCCAAACUCCCUAAAGAGUACGGCGCAUACUCCAAUUGGAUCAUGCACUUCGACGGCUCUAAAAUGUCGGUUGGCCUGGGAGCGGGUGUUGUCUUGACAUCCCCCAGUGGAGAUACAGUCCAAUACGUACUCCAAAUACUAUACACAGACUCCAACAAUGCAGCCGAAUACGAGGCUCUGUUACAUGGUCUUCGGAUGGCUGUCUCCAUGGGUAUUAAGCGCCUAGAAGUGCGCGGGGAGUCAAACUUCGCAAUAUCUCAAAUAAAUGGAGACUUCGACGCCAAGGACCCAAAAAUGGCAGCUUAUCGCAAUGUCGUUCUUCAAAUGUCAGCUCGAUUCGAGGGGCUUGAAUUUCAUCAUGUGGUUCGGGAAAACAAUCAAGCAGCAGAUAUUCUAGCCCGCAUUGGCACUAAGCGCGACCCUGUCCCACCUAACAUCUUCCGGGAAAGGCUUUUCAAGCCAUCC
This 492-nucleotide ribosomal RNA is filed under the name Triticum aestivum (bread wheat). Its description in RNAcentral is "partial small subunit ribosomal RNA". The record is from RNAcentral. Lineage: Eukaryota; Viridiplantae; Streptophyta; Magnoliopsida; Poales; Poaceae.